UAUUUAUUAAUCUUAUUAAACUUAAAGUUUAAUUAAUCUUUU
This 42-nucleotide transfer RNA is filed under the name Mecaphesa discreta. RNAcentral describes it as "tRNA-Leu". The record is from RNAcentral. Lineage: Eukaryota; Metazoa; Arthropoda; Arachnida; Araneae; Thomisidae.